UACGUAGGGUGCAAGCGUUAAUCGGAAUUACUGGGCGUAAAGGGUGCGCAGGCGGUUUUGUAGUCAGAUGUGAAAUCCACGGGCUUAACCUGGGAACUGCGUUUGAAACUACAAGACUAGAGUGUGGCAGAGGGGGGUGGAAUUCCAUGUGUAGCAGUGAAAUGCGUAGAGAUAUGGAAGAACAUCGAUGGCGAAGGCAACCCCCUGGGUUAACACUGACGCUCAGGCACGAAGGCGUGGGGAGCAAACAGG
This 252-nucleotide unclassified non-coding RNA is filed under the name uncultured Gammaproteobacteria bacterium. Its description in RNAcentral is "contains 16S-23S intergenic spacer region". It matches the Rfam family "Bacterial small subunit ribosomal RNA", at positions 524 to 776 of the family's 1533-position model. The record is from RNAcentral. Lineage: Bacteria; Pseudomonadati; Pseudomonadota; Gammaproteobacteria.